AACGAACGCUGGCGGCAGGCCUAACACAUGCAAGUCGAGCGAGCAUUUCGGUGCUAGCGGCGGACGGGUGAGUAACGCGUGGGAACGUGCCCUUUUCUGCGGAACAGUCCUGGGAAACUGGGGGUAAUACCGCAUACGCCCUUUUGGGGAAAGAUUUAUCGGAGAAGGAUCGGCCCGCGUUGGAUUAGGUAGUUGGUGGGGUAAUGGCCCACCAAGCCGACGAUCCAUAGCUGGUUUGAGAGGAUGAUCAGCCACACUGGGACUGAGACACGGCCCAGACUCCUACGGGAGGCAGCAGUGGGGAAUCUUAGACAAUGGGGGCAACCCUGAUCUAGCCAUGCCGCGUGAGUGAUGAAGGCCUUAGGGUUGUAAAGCUCUUUCAGCUGGGAAGAUAAUGACGGUACCAGCAGAAGAAGCCCCGGCUAACUCCGUG
RNAcentral lists this ribosomal RNA (433 nucleotides) under uncultured bacterium. RNAcentral describes it as "partial 16S ribosomal RNA". It matches the Rfam family "Bacterial small subunit ribosomal RNA", at positions 29 to 507 of the family's 1533-position model. The record is from RNAcentral.